This 632-nucleotide unclassified non-coding RNA is filed under the name Bombus terrestris (buff-tailed bumblebee). RNAcentral's name for it is "misc RNA ENSBTSG00005030263.1". The record is from RNAcentral. Lineage: Eukaryota; Metazoa; Arthropoda; Insecta; Hymenoptera; Apidae.
AUAAACAUAGCAGAACGAAAGAGAACUCGUUGCAAGUGAUCAAGUUAUCAUUGGCUAGGAAAACGGUGCAAUUUAAAGUUGGAAUCCUGCCAAAUACAAAAUCGAAGCUGAUCUUGCGUGUGCUGAUCCUGCCAGAAGUCAAAUUUGACGGGACAAUAAAUUCAAGUGAAGAAUUAAGAGCAACCGGACUGACGGACUAAAAAAGGAUGGAUGAAAUAAAAUCGCGCGACUUUUUCAUCGCGAUGACCUAAAUGGCCACGGAUAGGACUAAAUGUUUCUCGCGAUAAUAAAAUGUCGUUUUUACUAUGAUUUUUAUCCUUUCAUAAAUAUUACAUAACGAUAGUAACGCUUACACAAAAUAGAAUUGAAUUUUGCAUUAUAUUAAAUGCAUGUAAUUUUUUUUACGCUUGCAAUUAACAUCAUGGAAAAUCAACUAUUAUAAUACAAAUAAAUUAUUGAAUAUUCAAGGCUUCCGUUUGUUAGGUAUUAUAAUUCAAAUGAAAUAUACUAAGCAAUUCUUUUACAUAUAAAACUUAAUGAACUAAAAUGAAUGAACUCAUAUCGUUAUUUUCCAAUGCAAGCUCAAUCGUAUCAUUUCAAUGAAAUUGGAUAAUUUUCGUGCAUAGCAUCGA